CCACCAACCAUGUUGCUCUUGCAGUUCUUAUAACUCUCGGGGAUCGUGAAUGGAGACAUGCCAGCUGCAACGCAAAGGCAGGACAAGAUGAAAGUCUUGUCCCCUACCAUGCUCUGAGGCAGGAGACCUCUGGUGUGAAUGGUGAAGAGUACAAGGAGAAGUAGCUGUGCCUUUCAGGUUUGGGUUGAGGAGAGAGGAAAGUCCUCUCCAAGCAGCUGGACUCCCUGCAAGGAACAAGCACUGUGGCUGAAGUUUUUUCACCUGGCGGAGCUUCAGAUGAAGAAAGCAGGGAGCAGGAGACACUUGUGGAAUUGCUUCACACUCAGCAUAUUGCAGCAGAUUGAUCUUCAUCAAGAUCAUGACGUGAUGUCCUGUAUCUGGAGAUCUAAACCGUGCUGGCCCCUCCUCUGAGUUUGGGGUAUUGUAAAUUCAUGCUCCAUUUGCUCUUUUCCAUGCUGCUGCUCUGUGUUUCUAUAUUUCUAGAUUAUUUCUCUUCCAAGAGAUUAGCUGAUCAUUUUCCAGGGUGCUUUUUUUAAUUUCCCCAAGGGCUCUGAAUUAUUUCUUGCUAUCCUUGCCAGUGAUGUAUGCAGCAGUUCUCAUUGUGC
RNAcentral lists this long non-coding RNA (605 nucleotides) under Calidris pugnax (ruff). RNAcentral's name for it is "lncRNA (ENSCPUG00000005309.1)". The record is from RNAcentral. Lineage: Eukaryota; Metazoa; Chordata; Aves; Charadriiformes; Scolopacidae.